GUAUUAUGGUUUAUAGGCACAAGGCCCAUUAAAUGACAUUCGUAGACAUACAUUUGGGGUGUGUUAAGUAAAUAGACUGCGUUGUCACACCGAGACGUUUAAAUCCCAGCAAACCAAGUCUGACGACUUGAAGGACGACUUCACAGAUCUAUCAAAAGUUCACAGGUGGUUGAAAGACUAGUGAAGCGUGCACAUGCCCCUAGAGGCCAGCAACAACUCCAUAGUGAAUUCAUUAAUGAUCCUUCCGCAGGUUCACCUACGGAAA
Molecule: unclassified non-coding RNA, 265 nt
Filed under: uncultured fungus
Lineage: Eukaryota; Fungi
Description: sequence contains ITS1
Source: RNAcentral